GCCAAGAUUGCCUUGUGAUUAGCUGACC
RNAcentral lists this small RNA (28 nucleotides) under Bombyx mori (domestic silkworm). RNAcentral describes it as "ovarian small RNA-16588". The record is from RNAcentral. Lineage: Eukaryota; Metazoa; Arthropoda; Insecta; Lepidoptera; Bombycidae.